RNAcentral lists this ribosomal RNA (809 nucleotides) under uncultured bacterium. RNAcentral describes it as "bacterial SSU rRNA". It matches the Rfam family "Bacterial small subunit ribosomal RNA", at positions 699 to 1504 of the family's 1533-position model. The record is from RNAcentral.
AGGAGGAACACCGGUGGCGAAGGCGACUUUCUGGCUGACAACUGACGCUGAGGCGCGAAAGCGUGGGGAGCAAACAGGAUUAGAUACCCUGGUAGUCCACGCCGUAAACGAUGAUUACUGGGUGUAGGGAGUAUCGACUCUCUCUGUGCCGAAGCAAACGCGAUAAGUAAUCCACCUGGGGAGUACGACCGCAAGGCUAAAACUCAAAGGAAUUGACGGGGACCCGCACAAGCAGUGGAGUAUGUGGUUUAAUUCGAGGCAACGCGAAGAACCUUACCAGGGAUUGACAUCCUGCGCUAGGCCUGGAGACAGGUUGUUCCUUCGGGACGCAGAGACAGGUGGUGCAUGGUUGUCGUCAGCUCGUGUCGUGAGAUGUUCGGUUAAGUCCGGCAACGAGCGCAACCCUUGUUGUCAGUUACCAUCAUUAAGUUGGGGACUUUGGCGAGACUGCCGUUGACAAAACGGAGGAAGGUGGGGAUGACGUCAAAUCAUCAUGCCCCUUAUAUCCUGGGCUACACACGUACUACAAUGGGCGUUACAGCGGGCAGCCACACCGCGAGGUGGAGCGAAUCCCGAAAGGCGUCCUCAGUUCGGAUUGCAGGCUGCAACUCGCCUGCAUGAAGUCGGAAUUGCUAGUAAUGGCAGGUCAGCAUACUGCCGUGAAUACGUUCCCGGGUCUUGUACACACCGCCCGUCACACCAUGAGAGUCUGUAACACCCGAAGUCAGUAGUCUAACCUGAUUAGAUUAGGGGGACGCUGCCGAAGGUGGGAUAGAUAAUUGGGGUGAAGUCGUAACAAGGUAACCGUA